Molecule: long non-coding RNA, 430 nt
Filed under: Helianthus annuus (common sunflower)
Lineage: Eukaryota; Viridiplantae; Streptophyta; Magnoliopsida; Asterales; Asteraceae
Description: hypothetical non coding rna
Source: RNAcentral
UGUUUUUGUUAUUGGAUUUGUUCUGUUGUUUGGAAUAGGAUGAGACCGGUACCGGUACCAAAUUUACCGAAACGUGUAUGUUUUGGUACCGAUUCGGUUCUGACUUUUGACAUUUUCGGUACCGGUAUUUAAAAUACCGGUACUGUACCGAAUCAUACCGUACCAGGUAUAUUUGGUACCGAUACCUGCUUUUGGGGAUUUUUGGUACCGAUACUCUCGGUUCCUCCGAUUCCGGUCGGUACCGAUACUCUCGGUUCCGAUACCGGUCGGUACCAAGCUUAGCCCUGGUUUUGAUAACCGAGAGAUUCAAAUGAUGCUAAUUAUUUUCAUGGUUCGAAUGACAAUCGUUGAGUGAUUAUAAACAUUCGUAUUCUUUCAUUAUUGUCUGAUGAACUCUUGGUUAUUUUAUUUUAUGUUUUGAAAAGAAUUU